RNAcentral lists this long non-coding RNA (238 nucleotides) under Malus domestica (apple). Its description in RNAcentral is "long non-coding RNA (MDOM_LNC012234)". The record is from RNAcentral. Lineage: Eukaryota; Viridiplantae; Streptophyta; Magnoliopsida; Rosales; Rosaceae.
CGACCCACUGUCUUUAUCAGUGCUGUAAUCUAUCAUGGGCUUGACAAUAGCGGGUCCCGUUAGAGCUGUAGGUGGUUUGUUUGAACGAAAAUCAGCAUUGAAACGUGGCCGAGAAUUCUGAUUCAGAGAACGUUGCGUUGUAGCGACCUCUGCCUUCCCUUUUCCUUUGUCCUUAGGUAGGCGAGCAUCUACCAUAUUUACUGUUGCCGUGGGAAAUGGGUCGGUAUCAACACUCAUC